This is a long non-coding RNA of Lagopus muta (rock ptarmigan), 1491 nucleotides long. RefSeq lists it as uncharacterized. The transcript is spliced from 3 exons. NCBI's taxonomy places the organism in Eukaryota, Metazoa, Chordata, Aves, Galliformes, Phasianidae. The record is from RefSeq and is a predicted model, not a curated record.
CACGUCCCCAACAGGACUCUGAUGUAGCAGAUAUCAGAAGUAUCUAUGGUUUUUGUUUGCUUUUUAAGGAAUGUAUCUGACAACUUGAGCUCUUGAGUCAAAGAUUUUAAGGCCUGGAGGGACUGCUAUCAUCUUCUAGUCUGAACUUCAGCAUAAAACAGGCUACAAAACUCCACCAAAUAAUUCCUGCAUUAGAGCAAUGGUUUCUGGAUGAGUUAUAGAUUAUCUCUUAAAAAGACUUUCAGCCUUGGUUUGAAGACUUUAUGUGACAGAGAGAAUCUAUGACAUCUGCAGGGUUUGAAAAGAGAGAGGCAGAAUUGGCGUUGCCACUUCCAUCAGUAGAACAUGCAAAGGAAACCAGGACAGGGAUGCAAAGUCAGGCCUGGAAGAAGCAAGAGAAGGAGGAGGAGGGCCACAGAAGUUUGAGAACAUGGGCUCAGGCUGAAAUGCUGCCUCUGUGCAUUAUUGCACCAUGUGUGAACCCAGGACAGUUCUGUAGGUGCAGGUGCCAUGUGCAGGUACUCGCCCCAGCACCUGUGCUGAUCAUGGGAGCCACAGGACUUCAAAGGGCUUCAGAUACGGUCAUCUGGUAGGGGACAGUCUUAGCAGUAUUCCAUCAGAGUGAGAGUGCCGUUGGUUUGUCCAGAGAAGGUGUGACAUCUGGCAUCUGAAGUAGCCCAGAAACCUUUUGCAGGCUGAGACUCUAAAUUAGGAUUCCCAACAUCCGCAGAGCGGAUGUGUGGGCUGCCAGGGCCUGUUAGGCAAUCCCAAAGGACCUUGACCAUCUCAGACAGAUCCCAGUUUCUGUAGCUGCUCCCAUUUCUAGAGGCACAUGCUGUGAAAGGGCUACCUGCCUGAAUGAGUGACACAGGUGAUGCCUGAGGAUCUCUCUUCAAUGAAUGUUGAAAAGGUUGGGGUCAGGCAUGCGGGACAAGGUGUGUGGCACUGUGUCCACGGGUGGUGAGAGAUGCUCUCAGCUACCACAGCACCGUGUGGUGGAUCUGCGUGUGGGUGGGCGGUGUUGGUCCUCUGAUGACACAACCCAGAUGUUUCUCCAGCACAUAAUGCUCAGCCCUACUCUGCUUCAAAGAACACAGCUCAGCCUCAGUCCUGAGGUCCUCUCCACGCACCGUAAUUCCCUGCAGACCACCCGUUGAUCACUGCACGAGCGGCAGACCCGGGGAUCCGGCGUUUUCCCCAGAGGCUCUUCCACGUAUCCCUCCUCGGGGCCGCUGCCCCACGGGCCGGAGCCCCGUUUUGCGGCAGGGCCCUGUUCCGCCGAGCCCAGCUUCCAGACCUGCCCCGCCGGGCACCGGCCCCACCGCCGCCGGUGCCGGUGGCGGCUUUUUGGCAUCCCUAAUCGCGGCUGGCCCCUGUGAUUGGCUGCGCGGCUCUGACCCCGCUCGGGCUCCCGGCUGGGCGGAUAAAAGGGGCCUGAGCCGGGGGCUCCUAGGCAUUCCCGGAGCGGGCACCAGGGACCGACGGCCACAG